RNAcentral lists this ribosomal RNA (505 nucleotides) under Tramea transmarina. RNAcentral describes it as "partial 16S rRNA". It matches the Rfam family "Bacterial large subunit ribosomal RNA", at positions 1819 to 2597 of the family's 2925-position model. The record is from RNAcentral. Lineage: Eukaryota; Metazoa; Arthropoda; Insecta; Odonata; Libellulidae.
GUCCUUUUGAAUUUUAUAGAAGGUCUGACCUGCCCAGUGAUAAUUUUAACGGCCGCGGUAUACUGACCGUGCAAAGGUAGCAUAAUCAUUAGUCUUUUAAUAGAGGGCUGGAAUGAAAGGUUUAACGAGGAAUCGACUGUCUCAUUUUAUUUGUUUUAGAAUUUAAUUUUUUAGUCAAAAAGCUAAAAUCUUAUUGGAAGACGAGAAGACCCUAUAGAUCUUUAUAAAACUUUAUUUAAUUAUUUUUAUAUUAUUUUAUUUAAAUGAUUUUUUAUUUUGUUGGGGUGACAAAAAUAUAUGUAAAACUUUUUUAUUUAUUUAACAUUAAUUUAUGAUUAUUAGAUCCAUUAUUAGUGAUUGAUAGACUAAGUUACCUUAGGGAUAACAGCGUAAUCCUCCUCCAGAGUUCAUAUUUACAGGAUGGGCUUGCGACCUCGAUGUUGGAUUAAGAUGAUAGUUAGGUGUAGCCGCUUAAUUUAUAGGUCUGUUCGACCUUUAAACUCUU